This is a long non-coding RNA of Paramacrobiotus metropolitanus, 713 nucleotides long. RefSeq lists it as uncharacterized. The record is from RefSeq and is a predicted model, not a curated record. Lineage: Eukaryota; Metazoa; Tardigrada; Eutardigrada; Parachela; Macrobiotidae. The transcript has 3 exons.
CAUUAAUCAGCUUAUCGUGUAGACUAACUUCCCGUACAUCACGAAUGCGUUUAGUUUGUGUUACGCGAUGAUUAUUGUGAUUAUUUUUUCUUUAAUAUUUUCAUUCAUAGUGAUCUUUCAGAUUCUGAGUACAUAUACAAAGUUAGCUUGGAAAAAUAAUGAAGUCCCAGGAACCACGGCAGUAAGCUCUACCAAGCUAUCGGUGCCGUUCGUGUCCGUCCCGUUGAGAUCUAGCGCCUCGUUGUUGUCCAUGGGGAAUAUGGGGACGGAUAGCAAACGGCGUUGUUGCGGUUUGCUUUCGGUGGAGUCCGCACCAUCCGUCGCGGCAUUGCAGCCAGCUCCCUCGGCCACGGGAUGAUUUUCCCGCAUUCCACCGGAAAGUGGACGCCGUUAUGCGCCAAAACCAGCAGGGCGCAGUGGGAUCCUCGAAAAGUCACGAAAACCAGCGCGUAGAUAUGAUACUCACGAGUUUCGAAGAAAAUUUCCACAUUUUACAUUUUCAUUGAUUUGAACUUUCGUUAUAAACUGGUUUUUAAUUCUCUAGUCCGGAAUUGAAUUGUCUUCAUAUUACACUGGAGCUUGUGCGUUCGCACAGUUUAUAGUUGUUCUAAACUUGUACAGUUGUGUAACUAGCGAAUACUGCUUUAACCCAUGAUGUUACUGCGUUGACGGCAUCUUGGUUUUAAAUUGAGGAUUUGCAAUAGUUGCACACA